Molecule: transfer RNA, 74 nt
Filed under: Candidatus Lernaella stagnicola
Lineage: Bacteria; Candidatus Lernaellota; Candidatus Lernaellaia; Candidatus Lernaellales; Candidatus Lernaellaceae
Description: tRNA-Val
Rfam family: tRNA
About the family: Transfer RNA (tRNA) molecules are approximately 80 nucleotides in length.
Source: RNAcentral
GGGCGGGUAGCUCAGCUGGUUAGAGCAUCGGUCUUACAAACCGGGGGUCGGGGGUUCGAAACCCUUCCCGCCCA